AGAGUUUGAUCCUGGCUCAGAUUGAACGCUGGCGGCAGGCUUAACACAUGCAAGUCGAGCGGAAACGAUGAUAGCUUGCUAUCAGGCGUCGAGCGGCGGACGGGUGAGUAAUACUUAGGAAUCUACCUAGUAGUGGGGGAUAGCACGGGGAAACUCGUAUUAAUACCGCAUACGACCUACGGGAGAAAGGGGGCAGUUUACUGCUCUCGCUAUUAGAUGAGCCUAAGUCGGAUUAGCUAGAUGGUGGGGUAAAGGCCUACCAUGGCGACGAUCUGUAGCUGGUCUGAGAGGAUGAUCAGCCACACCGGGACUGAGACACGGCCCGGACUCCUACGGGAGGCAGCAGUGGGGAAUAUUGGACAAUGGGGGAAACCCUGAUCCAGCCAUGCCGCGUGUGUGAAGAAGGCCUUUUGGUUGUAAAGCACUUUAAGCAGUGAAGAAGACUCCGUGGUUAAUACCCACGGACGAUGACAUUAGCUGCAGAAUAAGCACCGGCUAACUCUGUGCCAGCAGCCGCGGUAAUACAGAGGGUGCAAGCGUUAAUCGGAAUUACUGGGCGUAAAGGGAGCGUAGGUGGCUCUAUAAGUCAGAUGUGAAAUCCCCGGGCUCAACCUGGGAACUGCAUCUGAAACUGUAGAGCUAGAGUAUGUGAGAGGAAGGUAGAAUUCCAGGUGUAGCGGUGAAAUGCGUAGAGAUCUGGAGGAAUACCGAUGGCGAAGGCAGCCUUCUGGCAUAAUACUGACACUGAGGCUCGAAAGCGUGGGUAGCAAACAGGAUUAGAUACCCUGGUAGUCCACGCCGUAAACGAUGUCUACUAGUCGUUGGGUCCCUUGAGGACUUAGUGACGCAGCUAACGCAAUAAGUAGACCGCCUGGGGAGUACGGCCGCAAGGUUAAAACUCAAAUGAAUUGACGGGGGCCCGCACAAGCGGUGGAGCAUGUGGUUUAAUUCGAUGCAACGCGAAGAACCUUACCUGGUCUUGACAUAUCUAGAAUCCUGCAGAGAUGCGGGAGUGCCUUCGGGAAUUAGAAUACAGGUGCUGCAUGGCUGUCGUCAGCUCGUGUCGUGAGAUGUUGGGUUAAGUCCCGCAACGAGCGCAACCCUUGUCCUUAGUUACCAGCGGGUUAAGCCGGGAACUCUAAGGAUACUGCCAGUGACAAACUGGAGGAAGGCGGGGACGACGUCAAGUCAUCAUGGCCCUUACGACCAGGGCUACACACGUGCUACAAUGGUAGGUACAGAGGGCAGCUACACAGCGAUGUGAUGCGAAUCUCAAAAAGCCUAUCGUAGUCCAGAUUGGAGUCCGCAACUCGACUCCAUGAAGUAGGAAUCGCUAGUAAUCGCGGAUCAGAAUGCCGCGGUGAAUACGUUCCCGGGCCUUGUACACACCGCCCGUCACACCAUGGGAGUUGAUUGCACCAGAAGUGGAUAGCUUAACCUUCGGGGAGGCGUUCACCACGGUGUGGUUGAUGACUGGGGUGAAGUCGUAACAAGGUAACC
RNAcentral lists this ribosomal RNA (1500 nucleotides) under Psychrobacter sp. BSw21512. Its description in RNAcentral is "bacterial SSU rRNA". It matches the Rfam family "Bacterial small subunit ribosomal RNA". The record is from RNAcentral. Lineage: Bacteria; Pseudomonadati; Pseudomonadota; Gammaproteobacteria; Moraxellales; Moraxellaceae.